Molecule: long non-coding RNA, 477 nt
Organism: Ornithorhynchus anatinus (platypus)
Lineage: Eukaryota; Metazoa; Chordata; Mammalia; Monotremata; Ornithorhynchidae
Exons: 3
Source: RefSeq, a predicted model, not a curated record
CUUCAGUCAAACCGUAUCUGCCUUAACGUGAGUUUUCCUUAACCCGGAACUCAUCAAAGACACAGCCAACCAUGGUCAAGGAGUGAGCAUAUCACAUUUUGGAUAAAUACGUCAAGGACCCAGGAACACAGAUCCAACAGGCAUUUCUACAAUAUUCAAUUAUAGUACAGGUUACUGAACUGGCUGAGCCCAUUUGCAAACCAGAAACUGCAAUUGCGUUUUCAAUUAACUUCUGCUGGGGAUCCAAAUAAAAAUAAGCCAUCCUCAUUUCCUGAUGAAUAAUGGAAAUCAAAGCUCUGCAAAAAGAUGCCGGCAAUUAUUAAAGAAACCCAAAGCAGUUACCGCUGCUUGUUCUACAGAUGCAAAUACUGCACGAAGGAGGAAGUGUUUUUCCUAAGAUUUCUAAUGGUGCAGACCCCAAAUAAAUCGAUAUCAGGAAAUAGCGCCUUGUUUUUAAAAUACAGAAACGCUAUUUAA